RNAcentral lists this long non-coding RNA (2045 nucleotides) under Panax ginseng (ginseng). Its description in RNAcentral is "long non-coding RNA (PGIN_LNC003154)". The record is from RNAcentral. Lineage: Eukaryota; Viridiplantae; Streptophyta; Magnoliopsida; Apiales; Araliaceae.
GUCACAACACAGGUCAAAUACAACAUGUCAUAUAAAUCACAGUCGCAUUAUAGUAACAGUUGAGCAAAAAGAUAUAGAAUGGUUCUUGUACAUCAACAGUUAGUAGGGUUAUCACAUCCACAAUACAUCAAAAUUUCCAAAUCUUUCCAAAUUAUAUUUGAAAUCCAAAAUAUCCUUCACAUCCAUCUGCUUCCCAACAGUCGGGCAUCACCAAAUUCUAAGAUACCGGGCGAAGCUCUGACCUGGAUGUAUGUACCCGUUCCAAACUCGACCGGCAACAAAUGAGGUAGAUUAGAUGAUCUCUGUUCUCACUGCAAGCAAACAUCAACUGCAUAUAAUUUUAAGAGAUUAGCUCAAUACAAAUCUUGCACACCACUGUACCUAAAUAGUGCAAGAACACUUGGCAUACCACUGUACCUGAAGGCCUCUAAACAAAUCUAAACCUGAAGACAAAAAAGCCACCAAGGAACACUAUAUUGAUAUCAUUCAGUACCAUAUGGAAAAUAUUUCUUCUAUUAUAUUUCUAUACCAGUAAGAAGAAAAUUUAGAGUAUAUAAAUGAUUAAGUAGCAAUGCUGCAGAAGUGGGAGAAUAUAAGAGCAAAAGAGUAUGGAAAAGGACUAUUUUUUAAAGGAUAAAAUAGUGAUAGGAUUACUGAUCCAUAGACUAUAUAGUCCAUGGGAUUGAAGCAUGAAGCUAAUAAAGAGUACUGAGUACUGUCAUAUUCCAUUAGGCCCAUAAAACAAAAUAAGUCAAGAAUACUGAUUUUGCUUGUUAAUGAUGAUGUUUAUUAUCAAACACAAUUAAGUAUACUAUAUGUUUAAUCCAGCACAACUUGACAAGAAUGAUAGAAAGGACGGUUACUCAUCAACUUGUAUGUAUAUCUAUAUAGGGAUGAUCACCAGUCAUCAAGAUCAUACUCAGCAACCUAGAAGCAAAAAACUGUCAAAGAAGACGAACAUAAUUUUUUGGAUUUUUUUUCAAUAAUAAACUUUAAAAUUAAGAUUUAUUACUUCAAAAAAUUAUUGACAAAUAAUGAAGAAACUCAAUAUUCGAAGAAAAAAAAAGUUAAUAACAAAGUAGGACUCUCAUUUUCAGACGAAUGAAGUACAAUAUUACAGUAAUUAGAUACCUUCAACUUUAUUACGACCACGUCAUAUGACAGCAAGCCAAGGUUUAUUUUUUGAACAUAAACUAUUUAAAAACUGUCUCAGUUACUGCUGCUGAACCCAUAAUUCACAAUAUUUACUUAUCUUGAUAAUGAAAUCAGGACUGCACAAAAAACUGUGUCUAGUUUUUCUGUCAUAUGGCUACUAUUUACUCGGUAUGCUAACAUUCAGUUCUAGUUCAAGGCAGCAACAAAUAUUGGUGAUUAAAAAAAUUAUUUAGAAAUAAGAAAAGUUGCAAUAAAGUUAUCAUUUGGCAAAGUACACUCACCCAUACUGAAGUAAUUCCAGAAACCUCCUUGAAAUGUGUGACAACCUUCCUGAGAAGUGUUCAAACAGUUGUCAAUAAAAAAAAGAUGCAUAUACUGUUAAUUCAAAAGAAGAUUUCUAAAAAAGAUGCAUGUACAGUUUAUCCUUGUAACAUGAUAUGGGUUUGUUUUUAAGAGGAGUUUAUCCUUGUAACCUGUCUUUAAAACCAUAGAUGCAAUCCUAAAAGAGACAAAUUCAUAUCCUGGCCUAAGUGAGUAGAACAAAUACCAGCUAACCAAAGAAAAAAAAUCAGAUGAAUAGAAGGCUUUAAAUAAAAAAAUCAUUUAAAUAAAAGACUUUUGCAAACGAAACAAAUCAUUUAAAUAAAAAAUAGAUAUCCACUAAGACUGAGGUAGAGAAUAUAUACUAUAAGCAAGACUCCAAGCUGUGAUUUCAUAGCUGACCAAUUUAUUGCCAUUGGAAUAGAAGAGCAGAAGGCAAAGGUCAAGAUAAUGUCUAGAGCACUAUCAUUAAUUGCUCAGAUUUCCCUACAUACCCCAGUACUUUCCGGCAUGCUCCUUUUUGUCUUCCUUUUAUACUUCAGAGUUCAGAAUAUGUCUUUCAAUCUUUU